Molecule: ribosomal RNA, 354 nt
Filed under: Entamoeba histolytica
Lineage: Eukaryota; Evosea; Mastigamoebida; Endamoebidae
Description: SSU rRNA
Rfam family: Eukaryotic small subunit ribosomal RNA
Source: RNAcentral
AACUGCGGACGGCUCAUUAUAACAGUAAUAGUUUCUUUGGUUAGUAAAAUACAAGGAUAGCUUUGUGAAUGAUAAAGAUAAUACUUGAGACGAUCCAGUUUGUAUUAGUACAAAAUGGCCAAUUCAUUCAAUGAAUUGAGAAAUGACAUUCUAAGUGAGUUAGGAUGCCACGACAAUUGUAGAACACACAGUGUUUAACAAGUAACCAAUGAGAAUUUCUGAUCUAUCAAUCAGUUGGUAGUAUCGAGGACUACCAAGAUUAUAACGGAUAACGAGGAAUUGGGGUUCGACAUCGGAGAGGGAGCUUUACAGAUGGCUACCACUUCUAAGGAAGGCAGCAGGCGCGUAAAUUAC